UACAGAGGGGGCAAGCGUUGUUCGGAAUUACUGGGCGUAAAGGGCGCGUAGGCGGCCCGCUAAGUCGAACGUGAAAUCCCCGAGCUCAACUCGGGAACUGCAUCCGAUACUGGAUGGCUUGAAUCCGGGAGAGGGAUGCGGAAUUCCAGGUGUAGCGGUGAAAUGCGUAGAUAUCUGGAGGAACACCGGUGGCGAAGGCGGCAUCCUGGACCGGCAUUGACGCUGAGGAGCGAAAGCCAGGGGAGCAAACGGG
RNAcentral lists this ribosomal RNA (253 nucleotides) under uncultured bacterium. RNAcentral's name for it is "partial 16S ribosomal RNA". It matches the Rfam family "Bacterial small subunit ribosomal RNA", at positions 524 to 776 of the family's 1533-position model. The record is from RNAcentral.